This 521-nucleotide ribosomal RNA is filed under the name uncultured Saccharomyces. Its description in RNAcentral is "eukaryotic LSU rRNA". It matches the Rfam family "Eukaryotic large subunit ribosomal RNA", at positions 61 to 586 of the family's 3401-position model. Lineage: Eukaryota; Fungi; Ascomycota; Saccharomycetes; Saccharomycetales; Saccharomycetaceae. The record is from RNAcentral.
GAAACCAACCGGGAUUGCCUUAGUAACGGCGAGUGAAGCGGCAAAAAGCUCAAAUUUGAAAUCCGGUACCUUCGGUGCCCGAGUUGUAAUUUGGAGAGGGCAACUUUGGGGCCGUUCCUUGUCUAUGUUCCUUGGAACAGGACGUCAUAGAGGGUGAGAAUCCCGUGUGGCGAGGAGUGCGGUUCUUUGUAAAGUGCCUUCGAAGAGUCGAGUUGUUUGGGAAUGCAGCUCUAAGUGGGUGGUAAAUUCCAUCUAAAGCUAAAUAUUGGCGAGAGACCGAUAGCGAACAAGUACAGUGAUGGAAAGAUGAAAAGAACUUUGAAAAGAGAGUGAAAAAGUACGUGAAAUUGUUGAAAGGAAGGGCAUUUGAUCAGACAUGGUGUUUUGUGCCCUCUGCUCCUUGUGGUAGGGGAAUCUCGCAUUUCACUGGGCCAGCAUCAGUUUUGGUGGCAGGAUAAAUCCAUAGGAAUGUAGCUUGCCUCGGUAAGUAUUAUAGCCUGUGGGAAUACUGCCAGCUGGGA